GUUGUAUGGUUAAGUGACUAAGCGUACACGGUGGAUGCCUUGGCAGUCAGAGGCGAUGAAAGACGUAGUAACUUGCGAUAAGCCCAGAUUAGGUAGUAACAACCAUUUGAGUCUGGGAUUUCUGAAUGGGGAAACCCACKWGCAUAAGCAMGUAUCCUUACCUGAAUACAUAGGGUAAGGAGGCGAACCGGGGGAACUGAAACAUCUAAGUACCCCGAGGAAAAGAAAUCAACCGAGAUUCCGAAAGUAGCGGCGAGCGAAAUUGGACUAGCCCUUAAGCUUUACACGCGUUAGACGAACGGUCUGGAAAGUCCGRCGAUACAGGGUGAUAGUCCCGUAGUUGACGACGUGUGUUCAGUGAAAUCGAGUAGGGCGGGACACGUGAUAUCCUGUCUGAAUAUGGGGGGACCAUCCUCCAAGGCUAAAUACUACUGACUGACCGAUAGUGAACCAGUACCGUGAGGGAAAGGCGAAAAGAACCCCUGUGAGGGGAGUGAAAUAGAACCUGAAACCGUGUACGUACAAGCAGUAGGAGCAGGCUUUGUCCUGUGACUGCGUACCUUUUGUAUAAUGGGUCAGCGACUUAUAUUCAGUGGCAAGGUUAACCAUCUAGGGGAGCCGUAGGGAAACCGAGUCUUAACUGGGCGUUCAGUCUCUGGAUAUAGACCCGAAACCAGGUGAUCUAGCCAUGGGCAGGUUGAAGGUUGAGUAACAUCAACUGGAGGACCGAACCGACUAAUGUUGAAAAAUUAGCGGAUGACUUGUGGCUAGGGGUGAAAGGCCAAUCAAA
This 790-nucleotide ribosomal RNA is filed under the name Vibrio parahaemolyticus. RNAcentral describes it as "partial 23S ribosomal RNA". Lineage: Bacteria; Pseudomonadati; Pseudomonadota; Gammaproteobacteria; Vibrionales; Vibrionaceae. The record is from RNAcentral.